CCUACGGGUGGCAGCAGUGGGGAAUAUUCGGCAAUGGGCGCAAGCCUGACCCAGCAACGCCGCGUGAAUGAAGAAGGCUUUCGGAUUGUAAACUUCUUUUGUGAGGGAAGAGCAGGAGACGGUACCUCUUGAUUAAGCCACGACUGACUACGUGCCAGCAGCCGCGGGAAUACGGAGGUGGCAAGCGUUGUCCGGAUUUACUGGGUGGACAGGGCGUGUAGCCGGGCUGACUAAUCAGAUGUGAAAUUCCGGGGGUCAACCCAGGACCUGACUUUGAAACUGUUUGUCUUGAGUAUCGGAGAGGCAGGCGGAAUUCCUAGUGUAGCGGUGAAAUGCGUAGAUAUUAGGAGGAACACCAGUGGCGAAGGCGGCCUGCUGGACGACAACUGACGGUGAGGCGCGAAAGCGUGGGGAGCAAACAGGAUUAGAUACCCGUGUAGUC
Molecule: ribosomal RNA, 442 nt
Filed under: uncultured bacterium
Lineage: Bacteria
Description: partial 16S ribosomal RNA
Rfam family: Bacterial small subunit ribosomal RNA
Source: RNAcentral